GGAAGCGUAGUAAUGCGUUGAGCUAACCCGUACUAAUUGCCCGUGAGACUUAACCAUACAACACCCAAGGUGUUUGG
This 77-nucleotide ribosomal RNA is filed under the name Idiomarina abyssalis. RNAcentral describes it as "partial 23S ribosomal RNA". The record is from RNAcentral. Lineage: Bacteria; Pseudomonadati; Pseudomonadota; Gammaproteobacteria; Alteromonadales; Idiomarinaceae.